Molecule: transfer RNA, 97 nt
Filed under: Actinomycetes bacterium
Lineage: Bacteria; Bacillati; Actinomycetota; Actinomycetes
Description: Actinomycetia bacterium tRNA-Ser(gct)
Source: RNAcentral
CGCGGCCGGCGGGGUGCGGUAGGCCUGCUGCGGCUGCUGGCCGUAGCCGGGGGGCUGGCCGUAGCCACCCGGCUGGCCCGGGUCCUGCGGGUCGUGG